RNAcentral lists this long non-coding RNA (481 nucleotides) under Volvox carteri. Its description in RNAcentral is "long non-coding RNA (VCAR_LNC003206)". The record is from RNAcentral. Lineage: Eukaryota; Viridiplantae; Chlorophyta; Chlorophyceae; Chlamydomonadales; Volvocaceae.
CAGCAUAUACCUGCAGGCUUUGUGAUUGUGGAGCAGUGGAAGACGAAUUGCAUGUGUUUUUCGGAAUGCCCCGCUUAUGAUGGCUUCAGGGCUAAGUAUGCGAGUGAAUUCGGGUUUCAAGGGCACAACACGCGCACGAUUGUCCUAUGGGCCCCCGCUGGCAUUACCUAGCUUUCUUUCCGAGGUCUGACGGACUAGGCGCACAGCGCUCCGGCGCUUUGUACCCAAAUGGGAACCCGACACCGCAACAUAAACUUUCACCGACGGUCCAUGUGGCCCCCGACUUUGAUGGACCCCUCCACACUUGUGUGGACACUGCAAGUGUAGCUGUAGCCGUAACUAGCAUCGCCUACACCGACAUAUGUUGCUUUUGCAUCAUUACGCUUUUCAUACCCAUGGGUAUGGAGCCGCUAGUAACCAAAUAGCCAACCCUAUUCAGCAACCUUGGCGGGUACUUUCAGCUACACAGGGUGCUCACGGC